Molecule: ribosomal RNA, 591 nt
Filed under: uncultured bacterium
Lineage: Bacteria
Description: bacterial SSU rRNA
Rfam family: Bacterial small subunit ribosomal RNA
Source: RNAcentral
ACGGGUGAGUAAUGUAUCGGAACGUGCCCAAUCGUGGGGGAUAACGUAGAGAAAUUUACGCUAAUACCGCAUACGAUCUAAGGAUGAAAGCGGGGGAUCGCAAGACCUCGCGCGAUUGGAGCGGCUGAUAUCAGAUUAGGUUGUUGGUGAGGUAAAAGCUCACCAAGCCGACGAUCUGUAGCUGGUUUGAGAGAACGACCAGCCACACUGGGACUGAGACACGGCCCAGACUCCUACGGGAGGCAGCAGUGGGGAAUUUUGGACAAUGGGCGAAAGCCUGAUCCAGCAAUGCCGCGUGCAGGAAGAAGGCCUUCGGGUUGUAAACUGCUUUUGUACGGAACGAAACGGCUCUUUCUAAUAAAGAGGGCUAAUGACGGUACCGUAAGAAUAAGCACCGGCUAACUACGUGCCAGCAGCCGCGGUAAUACGUAGGGUGCGAGCGUUAAUCGGAAUUACUGGGCGUAAAGCGUGCGCAGGCGGUUAUAUAAGACAGUUGUGAAAUCCCCGGGCUCAACCUGGGAAUUGCAUCUGUGACUGUAUAGCUAGAGUACGGUAGAGGGGGAUGGAAUUCCGCGUGUAGCAGUGAAAUGC